AUUGAACGCUGGCGGCAGGCCUAACACAUGCAAGUCGAACGGCAGCACAGUAAAGGUUUGCGCUUCGGGGAGGCGAGUGGCGGGCGGGUGAGGUGUACAUCGGAAUGUAUGUUGGCGUGGGGGAUCACGUAGGGAAACUUACGCUAAUAGCGCAUACGACCUACGCGUGAGAGCAGGGGAUCUUCGGACCUUGCGCGAGGAAAUGAGCCGAUGGCGGAUUAGCUAGUUGGCGGGGUAAAGGCCCACCAAGGCGACGAUCCGUAGCUGGUCUGAGAGGAUGAUCAGCCACACUGGAACUGAGACACGGUCCAGACUCCUACGGGAGGCAGCAGUGGGGAAUAUUGGACAAUGGGCGCAAGCCUGAUCCAGCCAUGCCGCGUGUGUGAAGAAGGCCUUCGGGUUGUAAAGCCCUUUUGUUGGGGAAGAAAAGCAGCAGGUUAAUACCCCGCUGUUCUGACGGUACCCGAAGAAUAAGCACCGGCUAACUUCGUG
This 492-nucleotide ribosomal RNA is filed under the name uncultured bacterium. RNAcentral's name for it is "partial 16S ribosomal RNA". It matches the Rfam family "Bacterial small subunit ribosomal RNA", at positions 30 to 507 of the family's 1533-position model. The record is from RNAcentral.